UUUCAGUACUAAUAAACAUAAAAUACCUCUUACUUCAAAAAUAAAAUAAAAUAAAAUAAAAUCAAGUUCGUCUUUUUCAAGUCGAGAAGAGAAACAACCAGAGGAACAAAAAAAAUUCCCAGAUCUAAAUUGCUUAGCUCUUCUCUUUGUCAGAUCUGAAAACUUCCUAUCAAAAUAGAAUUUUCUCCCUAUCUCAGUCAGUUUACAGGGAUCUCUCAAAAUUCCGAUCCAAUAAAUCAUAAUCGUGAACAAAUUAUCCCAUUGAUUCAAUCCGCGCUGGCAAGGAGGUCAUUUCAAGCACAGGUUACUGAAAGGCUGUUUGAUGAGUACACAAUUGAAAUUGUUAUUGAUGGAAAGCUCCUUUGUGGUGUAUUCAAAAGACAUCACCAAGAGGCAAUAGACGUCAAACAGCCAGUCAAUGCUUAUGCAAAGGAUUUCGCAUCACAUGAGAUUGCUCGUGGAAACUGGAAAGGUCUUGGAAAUAUGUUGUUUUGGCAAUAUUAAAAGAGUUGCAAGCUCGUUGCUAAGACCAAAGUUUUAAUAGCUAAAUGGUGUAUUCUAAAUUGUAUAUGUAUUAUUGUCUCUAAGCUUGUUAGGUAAGCGAGUUUGUUCUGGUUAUGUGGGUAGUUUUCAUCUACAUGUAAUGUGUGAUUUUAAAUGUGAAUAAAAGGUUUAUGUUGUUAUAA
Rosa rugosa (rugosa rose) is the source of this 686-nucleotide long non-coding RNA. RefSeq lists it as uncharacterized. Lineage: Eukaryota; Viridiplantae; Streptophyta; Magnoliopsida; Rosales; Rosaceae. The record is from RefSeq and is a predicted model, not a curated record. The transcript is spliced from 2 exons.